This 375-nucleotide transfer-messenger RNA is filed under the name Chitinophaga caeni. RNAcentral describes it as "Standard tmRNA". It matches the Rfam family "transfer-messenger RNA". Rfam says of the family: Bacterial tmRNA, also known as 10Sa RNA or SsrA, is named for its dual tRNA and mRNA-like properties. Its role is to liberate the mRNA from a stalled ribosome. The record is from Rfam by way of RNAcentral. Lineage: Bacteria; Pseudomonadati; Bacteroidota; Chitinophagia; Chitinophagales; Chitinophagaceae.
GGGGUCGACCGGUUUUGACAGCAUAGGGUCUUUGAUAGUGUAAGCAUGUCGUGCGUUGUGUAAUUAGCACGUAAAUCUGAAUGCUCAAAAUUUAAAUGGCGAAAAUAACUACGCCAUGGCUGCCUAAUCAGAGAUUAGACACCAUUAUAGCCGCCGAUUACUGCCGCCCGCUGCAGUGUCCGCCGCUGAAUCAUAAAACUUAGUGGGAUAGGCUUUCAUGGUUUCUGUGAGUGAGGGCUGAAACUCAAACGGAUAAGGACGAAGUUGGUGUGUUGUGUUCCUGCCAAGUCCCGACAAACUAAUGCACAAAUAAGCAUGUAGAAAGCUAUCGGAGAAUAUGUUUGGACGCGGGUUCGAAUCCCGCCGACUCCACAA